GCCAGACUCCUACGGGAGGCAGCAGUAGGGAAUCUUUCACAAUGGGCGAAAGCCUGAUGGAGCAACGCCGCGUGCAGGAUGAAGGCCUUCGGGUUGUAAACUGCUUUUAUAAGCGAGAAAUAUGAUGGUAACUUAUGAAUAAGGAUCGGCUAACUACGUGCCAGCAGCCGCGGUCAUACGUAGGAUCCGAGCAUUAUCCGGAGUGACUGGGUGUAAAGGGAGCGUAGACGGAUGGAUAAGUCUGAAGUGAAAGCCCGCGGCUCAACUGCGGGACUGCUUUGGAAACUGUGCAUCUUGAGUACGGGAGGGGCAGGCGGAAUUCCUGGUGUAGCGGUGAAAUGCGUAGAUAUCAGGAGGAACACCGGCGGCGAAGGCGGCCUGCUGGACCGAAACUGACGUUGAGGCUCGAAAGCGUGGGGAGCAAACAGGAUUAGAUACCCGUGUA
Molecule: ribosomal RNA, 445 nt
Filed under: uncultured bacterium
Lineage: Bacteria
Description: bacterial SSU rRNA
Rfam family: Bacterial small subunit ribosomal RNA
Source: RNAcentral